Molecule: ribosomal RNA, 1496 nt
Filed under: metagenome
Description: bacterial SSU rRNA
Rfam family: Bacterial small subunit ribosomal RNA
Source: RNAcentral
GAACGUUGGCGGCGUGGAUGAGGCAUGCAAGUCGCGCGUGAAAGUCCCUUCGGGGGCGAGUUAAGCGGCGGACGGGUGAGCGAUACGUACUCAAGCUGCCCUCGAGACGGGGAUAACGACGGGAAACCGUCGCUAAUACCCGAUUCAUCUGUUGGGCUGCAUGGCUUGACAGAGAAACGGUGGGGACCCUUCGGGGCCUGCUGCUCGGGGAUGCGAUUACGGCCUAUCAGCUAGUUGGUGGGGUAACGGCCUACCAAGGCGACGACGGGUAGCCGGCCUGAGAGGGUGGUCGGCCACACUGGGACUGAGACACUGCCCAGACUCCUACGGGAGGCUGCAGUCGAGAAUCUUCCGCAAUGGGCGAAAGCCUGACGGAGCGACGCCGCGUGUAGGAUGAAGGCCUUCGGGUUGUAAACUACUGUCACGGGUUAUGAAUGUGCAUGCAUAAACAGUGCAUGCAUUGACGUAAGCUCGGAAGGAAGCACCGGCUAACUCUGUGCCAGCAGCCGCGGUAAUACAGAGGGUGCAAACGUUGUUCGGAAUUACUGGGCAUAAAGCGCGCGUAGGCGGCGAUGUAAGUGUAGGGUGAAAUCCCACGGCUUACCCGUGUGAAUUGCCCCGCAUACUGCAUUGCUCGAGUGUGGUGGGGGAGAGCGGAACUCCUGGUGGAGCGGUGAAAUGCGUAGAUAUCAGGAGGAACACCGGUGGCGAAGGCGGCUCUCUGGUCCACUACUGACGCUGAAGUGCGAAAGCUAGGGUAGCGAACGGGAUUAGAUACCCCGGUAGUCCUAGCCGUAAACGAUGGGCACUAACUUGAGGUCUCCCUGUGGGAUCUCAGGUGUAGCAAAUGUGAUAAGUGCCCCGCCUGGGGAGUAUGGUCGCAAGGCUAAAACUCAAAGGAAUUGACGGGGGCUCACACAAGCGGUGGAGCAUGUGGUUUAAUUCGAUCAACGCGAAGAACCUUACCCAGGCUUGACAUGCUGGGAUUACCUCGGUGAAAGCUGAGGGAUUGCCUUCGGGUGUAACCAGCACAGGUGUUGCAUGGCUGUCGUCAGCUCGUGUCGUGAGAUGUCGGGUUAAGUCCCUUAACGAGCGAAACCCCUGCCACUAGUUGCUAACGGGUGAAGCCGAGGACUCUAGUGGGACCGCCGUUGUUAAGACGGAGGAAGGCGGGGACGACGUCAAGUCAUCAUGGCCCUUACGCCUGGGGCUACACACGUGCUACAAUGGUUGGGACAAAGGGAAGCGAAGUCGUAAGGCGAAGCAGAUCCCAAAAACCCAACCCCAGUUCGGAUUGCAGGCUGAAACUCGUCUGCAUGAAGUUGGAAUCGCUAGUAAUCGCGGAUCAGCUAUGCCGCGGUGAAUAUGUUCCUGAGCCUUGUACACACCGCCCGUCAAGUCAUGAAAGCUGAGAGUGCCCGAAGUCGUUUGCCUAACCGCAAGGAGGGCGACGCCGAAGGCAAGCUCGGUGAUUGGGACUAAGUCGUAACAAGGUA